GUGGGGAAUCUUAGACAAUGGGGGCAACCCUGAUCUAGCCAUGCCGCGUGAUCGAUGAAGGCCUUCGGGUUGUAAAGCUCUUUUACCCGGGAAGAUAAUGACUGUACCGGGAGAAUAAGCCCCGGCUAACUCCGUGCCAGCAGCCGCGGUAAUACGGAGGGGGCUAGCGUUGUUCGGAAUUACUGGGCGUAAAGCGCGCGUAGGCGGACCAGAAAGUUGGAGGUGAAAUCCCAGGGCUCAACCUUGGAACUGCCUUCAAAACUCCUGGUCUGGAGUUCGAGAGAGGUGAGUGGAAUUCCGAGUGUAGAGGUGAAAUUCGUAGAUAUUCGGAGGAACACCAGUGGCGAAGGCGGCUCACUGGCUCGAUACUGACGCUGAGGUGCGAAAGCGUGGGGAGCAAACAGGAUUAGAUACCCUAGUAGUCC
This 425-nucleotide ribosomal RNA is filed under the name uncultured bacterium. RNAcentral describes it as "partial 16S ribosomal RNA". It matches the Rfam family "Bacterial small subunit ribosomal RNA", at positions 354 to 796 of the family's 1533-position model. The record is from RNAcentral.